AGACCCGAAACCCGGUGAUCUAGCCAUGGGCAGGUUGAAGGUUGGGUAACACUAACUGGAGGACCGAACCGACUAAUGUUGAAAAAUUAGCGGAUGACCUGUGGCUGGGGGUGAAAGGCCAAUCAAACCGGGAGAUAGCUGGUUCUCCCCGAAAGCUAUUUAGGUAGCGCCUCGUGAAUUCAUCUCCGGGGGUAGAGCACUGUUUCGGCUAGGGGGCCAUCCCGGCUUACCAACCCGAUGCAAACUGCGAAUACCGGAGAAUGUUAUCACGGGAGACACACGGCGGGUGCUAACGUCCGUCGUGAAGAGGGAAACAACCCAGACCGCCAGCUAAGGUCCCAAAGUCAUGGUUAAGUGGGAAACGAUGUGGGAAGGCCCAGACAGCCAGGAUGUUGGCUUAGAAGCAGCCAUCAUUUAAAGAAAGCGUAAUAGCUCACUGGUCGAGUCGGCCUGCGCGGAAGAUGUAACGGGGCUAAACCAUGCACCGAAGCUGCGGCAGCGACACUCAGGUGUUGUUGGGUAGGGGAGCGUUCUGUAAGCCUGCGAAGGUGGCCUGUGAGGGUUGCUGGAGGUAUCAGAAGUGCGAAUGCUGACAUAAGUAACGAUAAAGCGGGUGAAAAGCCCGCUCGCCGGAAGACCAAGGGUUCCUGUCCAACGUUAAUCGGGGCAGGGUGAGUCGACCCCUAAGGCGAGGCCGAAAGGCGUAGUCGAUGGGAAACGGGUUAAUAUUCCCGUACUUGGUGUUACUGCGAAGGGGGGACGGAGAAGGCUAUGUUGGCCGGGCGACGGUUGUCCCGGUUUAAGCGUGUAGGUGUGUGUUCCAGGUAAAUCCGGUUCACUUUAACACUGAGGCGUGAUGACGAGGCACUACGGUGCUGAAGCAACAAAUGCCCUGCUUCCAGGAAAAGCCUCUAAGCAUCAGGUAACAUCAAAUCGUACCCCAAACCGACACAGGUGGUCAGGUAGAGAAUACCAAGGCGCUUGAGAGAACUCGGGUGAAGGAACUAGGCAAAAUGGUGCCGUAACUUCGGGAGAAGGCACGCUGACAUGUAGGUGAAGUGAUUUACUCAUG
Molecule: ribosomal RNA, 1072 nt
Filed under: Salmonella enterica
Lineage: Bacteria; Pseudomonadati; Pseudomonadota; Gammaproteobacteria; Enterobacterales; Enterobacteriaceae
Description: partial 23S ribosomal RNA
Rfam family: Bacterial large subunit ribosomal RNA
Source: RNAcentral